This is a long non-coding RNA of Hippopotamus amphibius kiboko, 6214 nucleotides long. RefSeq lists it as uncharacterized. The transcript has 5 exons. The record is from RefSeq and is a predicted model, not a curated record. NCBI's taxonomy places the organism in Eukaryota, Metazoa, Chordata, Mammalia, Artiodactyla, Hippopotamidae.
GGACGGCGAAGUAGCCCUCGCGCAGGACCAAGCUCGUGCCCACCUGGAUGGUACAGCGCGGCUUCCGUGGACCGUUCCCCUCAGUGACGAGAGAACAUGGCGGCUCCCUGUCCGGAGAUGUCAGAAGUGUGUUCUCCCACAGAAGAAAUUAUUUGUGUGGUUUCUUAGAAACAAGGUACUUAUGACAGUUUACGGCCUGACCAGUCUGACCCAGGACAGUUCCUGUCCUCCUUGUUUGAGGUCUUGGGCCAAACAGGACAUGCUACAACGCCCCUACUCCCCCACCGUCGCAGAGGGUGCUGUCUUUGCCUCUUUGUCCGACCUGUGAUGGAAAAGUCUCGUACUGGUCAGCCUCUGGGCCUGUAAAGAGAAGAGAGUGGACCUGGAACCAACUGUCCGGACCUGCCAGACAAGCAGAAGCAGGAUGGACUGGAUGGGAUUAUGAAAAACAAACUUCAGGAAUCCAGGGAUUGUGGGAGUGCUGCUUUUCUUCAGGGCCAGCUAAUUUCCUCAGAUACUGCUGAGCUUCUCUUUGAAAACCAGCCUCUUUAAUCCUGCUGUGAUGCCAAGAGGUAGCCUGGCAACUCAGACCUUGCCUUGCUCUGAGCCACUUCCUUUUCAGGCCAACUGUGAUGCCUUACGUCAAAGCUGAUAUGGUUCAGCACCAAGUUUGGGCACCAAGAGGGUGCUUGUUAACUGGCAGUGCCAGAAAGGUCUCCUGUCUUUCCUUGUCUGUGUAAAGUCACUUCUUUCCUGGGCAGUGGUUAAUUUGUUGAACAUCAGGGGAAGAGUUUUGACAGUUGGGGUCGGGGGAAAGUGCUAAAUAUAAGUAUGAACUCUUCUGAGGUGCUCUCAAAGACACUUCUCAACUCUAGCUUCAUAGACACAUCUGGUUCCUCUAUAGCUCUAUUAGCACAGGUUUUAUCCAGAAGGUGGCAUCACAGAACCGGAAUUUCACUCACCAGAGGUUAAACGAAAGGCCUCAGAUUACUGUUCUAGGCUUCUCCUGUGGCCUAGGACAGUAAUCUGAGGGAGUCUUCUGAGAGGCACCUGCUGACGUUGACAUUUCAGAGACUUUUUAUUUAUCCCUGUAAUUGGUUAAAUUACUUUAAAGCUGUGAAAGAUAGGGGUCAUGAGGGUUUCCUGCCCGGUGAAAACCUGAAGCGUGAGAUACUUAGAAAAACCUGUACCCAAACCCAUUUUCCUCCACCAAGUGACAGGACUGUGACCAAAACUGGCUUAUGUGCUAGUCGAAAACAGUUGUGAAACUUAACAAUAACUGUGAUGCCUUCUUCCCUUUCCACACACACUUGUGCCCACUGCCCAUCAGAGUCAUCUUGGGUGACUUCAUUGGAGGGAGGGGUCAGGAAGACCCAAAUGGAUGGUUUAAUAGGUAAAUCAGCUGAGUAUUGGCACUUAAAAAUGUCACAAGGUUGAGGAUUCCAAAAGAGUGACUCUCUGACUGGUGACAUUCUCAAAAUCAGGACUCUCAAGGAAAGAGAAGGUCAUCCUCCUCUGAGUUUGAGAGGGAAUCUGGCUUGCUGAUUCUUUCCCAGGAGUUCAUUUCCAGGCCAGCCCUGUCUCUUAGCCUCAUGAGACAGGUACUCAGUGCAUGUCUACUCACUGGUAGGAAUGUUAAUGUUCUAUAAAUUCUUGUUGUAACGUGUUCCUCUGGAUAUAUAUCUCAAGUGGGAUUGCUGGAUUAGAUGACAGUUCUAUUUUUAAUUUUUUGAGGGACUUCCGUACUGUUUUCCAUAGUGGCCAUACCAAUUUACAUGAGAGAACUCAUCUUGAACUGAAUGGAUUUCAUGACUGGUUCUCCGGUCACUUCUGAUUGUCUGUUCUUUUGAGGAGAAGAGCUAUAGAGAUUGGGGGCUCAAAGCGGGAAGGACUUCCCUGAUCAGGAAAAAUGGAAUGACUGACUAGAUAUGGUCCUUCCUUGGGGUGCCAGAAGCCUGUGGGCAGGGGGCUGGGAAGAGUGACCCUCUGCAGAGCUGCUCUCAGAGCAGGAGGAAAGUGCAGGCAGGAGGACAUGGGCCCUCGGUGUGAAAGGUGCAUUGCACUUUGUGUGUUCAGGAGUGUCUCCGACCCACUUCUCAAUCCCUGGUGCUGCCUGGGAUCGGCAUAGCAUGGGGACCGAAGAUAACAGUGCACAUCAGUGAGUGUGACAUGAGAGUAGAUUACCUUCUGGCAAAGGUGAGACUUUUUUGAUGGGGUUGUUCCCGAGUUUCCAGCAUUCAUGAGAACGUUCCACUUCACUUUAGGGAAGUGCUUGUAUUCCUGCUUCAUUCUGUGAGCUGCCUCAGGCUGUGAAAAGUGGCUCUGGAAAGGUGCCCUUUCCCCCUCCUCUGCUGUGGCCUGAACAGUAAUCUGAGGGAGUCUCCCGGGAGGCACCUGCUGAUGUUGAAUUCUUCUGGUGAAUAAUCGCACUACUUGAGUUUGCCACUCUGCUUUUCCUGCUGAGAGUGAGCUGUGUUCCACAGAGAGGCUAGUGAACGUGAGCUUCUGUUGCUGGUAGGUGUUUCUGAUGUCCCGGCCAGACACUUCUUCCUUCUGCUCUCCCCCGGCUCAGAUGCCUCGCCAACUCCUAAAGAAAGUGCGUACUGGCAAUGGCGGCAUCCGGGGCGUGGGAAAUGUUGGGUCCUGGGCAGAAGUUGGCCGUGGCCUGUGGUCAGGCUUCUGUGCCCCUCUGCAGAGCAAGGGCGUGUUGGGAACCCUGGGGAAUCCCGACUCUGUGUGAGGGAACGUGGUUGGGGUUUUAUGCCUGGCUUUCCACGGUGGCUUCCAGCACGCUUCUGCUGAGCACACUCUGCACGUUGGUUGGAAGAAAGAGGUCACGUGGGUCCUGUCAAUGAUCCCUAUAUGAAGCCGGGGCCGUUCGGAUCCUCCGGGGCAGGUGCACAUGAGCCUGCGUGUCCAGGAACCUGCCGGGUGAGGUGUCCAGGCUGGAGGAUGAAGCCCUCCUAUUCCCCUUGGUGAAGAGGGCCUACAGCCCCAGGCAGUAGCUGUCCCUUCCCCUGUCUAUCUGCUGGAAAGCGUUGCUGCUUGGUGGUCUGGCCUCUCACCAUGUUUGUCUUCCUCUUUGUGGGGGGGGUGGUGACAUUGUCUCAAGGGCACCUUGUCUACGAGCCCUCUCACGGAAGAGGGUGUUUUCCACAUGGCAGUGCGUAGGGGGGAUUAUGCAUCGUGCGUGGUGCUGGCCUACUGGAGGGGGAGAGGAUAGGGGUGUUGAGUUUGGGAGAAGGGGGGUGCUGUGGUUUCCCCAUCUCAGGCUUUUGCUUUCUCUUCAGUAGCGAAGUCUCUUCCCAGAGGGCAUACGAGGAGGCUCUGAGAAUAUAAGGAAACAUUGAGUGGGGAGGACCAGGGGCUUUGGUGUGAGAAUUGUGGUGGACGUGGUGGGUUCAGGGGAUGGCUCCCGUCCCCUUGCCCCAUUCCCUCACACUACCUUUGGGUGGCCAUGGCUGUGUCAUAGGAGAUAGCAAAGCACAGGACGGUGUGAAGUGAGAAAUGUCUCAGUGUGUGAAGCUGCGACCUUAAUAUUGGGAGCAGGUCCUCAGAUUUCAUUUUGCCAACGAACUGUGGGCCUCUCUGCCCGGAGAAAGUAUUGGUGUCUCUGCCGAUUCCUGUGCACUGCAGGUGCUUAUGUUGAUGUUUUUUUCUCCCCAGGUGUCUUCCUCUCUCCUGUAGUUAUGGGCUCUUGGGCACUGCUAAUGUGUUCAUUUCAUGUUCUAUGAGCGUAUAGCUGAGUUUCUGGUUUCAGCUGCCCAAGUUGUUCUCUCUUUACCUAGUUCUCACCCAUUGCACAGAUUUUUGCUGCCAGGUCCUUGAAGGAACAUUCUUGGGUUGUCAAAUUACCAAGAGGCUUAUUUAACUUAAAAAAAAAAGAGAUUAGCAUACAUUGCAAAGAGGCAGAGAAAGAACUGACAAGUUUUCCAAAGUAAAUGUUCUGAGAAAAGGGAAGAGAGAGGUCUUUUCCCUUUGUUCAACACCGACAAUUUAACUUUUCUUUUUUUAGUUCCCCUUACAACAUGCUCCCAUGAGAUACCAGGUCCCCUGGGUGUCUGCGCCCUCCCCCCAGAUGGUGAUUCCAGAGUCCUGGCCAAAGUCAGGCCUGUGCAGAGAACUUCCUCAAGAGGAACUUGUGCAGAUAGCACCUGAAGGAGAAAGUAAAAAGUAUGAGUGAUUGCUUAUCCUCUAGCCUGUGUUUACCCAUUCCUAUUUCCUCAGGGGGCGUUCUCUGAUCAAUAGGACCAAUUGGCAUGAGGAUUAAAACUACAGACCUUGUUUAGAGGUGUUGUAAAUUGCUAUGCCGAUGUCAGCGGUCUGUUGGCAAGUGAGCUGGACUUCCUUUAGCAUGCUCCCUUUCUUGAGUGCUCUGGAAGAGCAGAAAUUUGAUCUCCAGUUGUCAGAGGUUUGAUCUUUGUGGCUUCUGGUGCACAGAACCUGCUAGAAUUCUUGGUAGAAGUUGUGGGCUCAGAUCCUGCGUUAUGGAUAUUUAGUGUGCGGCCCUGUCCGAAAGAGUGGAAAGAAUGUGCCAAAUAUGUGCACUCCUGUACAAUUUGAAUGAUCCCUUCAUCCCUCUGGAUUUGAAGUUGCCCUCUCAGCCCAUUGUGCUGACUCCAGAAGCACAGCAAAUGGAUUAUUGAGUGUCACAGCCAGGCCACCUCAUAGUUUAGAUUUGGGUUAGCCUUCUGAGCUUCCCUUGCCUCUUCUUAUUCACGUGCAGGCCUGCUGUACUGCUUCAUAUCAGCUUUGGAAAAGAACAGCAGUGGGUCUGGUUUAGUGAAUCCUAAGGAGAUGCACUGCUUUGCUCAAUCUCCCCCAUCAGUCCGACACAGCAGCCUUCCAGAAUGCUGAAAGGCCUGUUGUAGACUCUACUCUAGUGACCGUAGCCUGUGCAGUCAGGGUACUGAGCUGCAGCAUGUAGGAUAUAGUUAAAGCCAGGAUCCAAGCACCUGUGCAUCUCCUUCAGAGCUCAGAAUUGAGGUAUUAUAUACUGAAAAAUGUGCUAAGAGAGUAGAUCUUAGUCUGUCUUCUGUCAUAGUCUUAUUAUAAACAAAUAAUAAUAAUUAAUGAGGGUGGAAUGAAAUUUCGGAGGGGAUGGGGAUGUUAAUGGUAUAGAUUGUGGAGAUGGUUUAUGGAUGUAUACUUAUCUCCAAACUCAUUAAGUUGUAUAUGUUAAAUAUGUAUAGCUUUUUGUAUGUCAAUCAUACCUUCAUACCUCAAUACAGUGGUUUUAAAAUAAUAAUAAUAAAAAGGCCCUUCCAGGGUUACAGAUGAGUGCUCUCCCUCAAGUGAUUUUAGAUUUUAUUUAAUUUAUUAUUAUUAUUUUUUGGCCACACCAUGUGGCAUGCGGGAUCUUAGUUCGCUGACCAGGGAUUGAACUCAUGCUCCCUGUAGUGGAAGCACCGAGUCUUAACCACUGGACCUCCAGGCAAGUCCUCUAGAUUUUAGAAAUGAAGGGGACGAAUGCUUCUACGCGAGGAAAUGGGUAAUGCCACGUACUGCUUCUGUAUCAUUGUUUUGCCUUGGUUUUUCUGCACAUAUGUAGCAUUUGCAUUGGCGGUGUAUAAGGUUAACCUUUAGUCCAUAGCAUUUUGAAUUUCAUAGAAUUACAGCAAUUGUACAGAAGCCAUGAACUUCACCUGGAGGACUUCGGCUCAAGGAGUGGCCCUGUGACAUCAGCUACUUGUCAUUUGACCAGAAGUUGACUUUGGGGUACUGUGCCUUUGGGAAUGGCUUGGACUUCGGGUUGUUUUCAUUUUUUAUAAUAUGUGCUUUUGUGCUUACUCAAGAAAUCUUUAAAAAUAUUUUACAUAUGGGGACAUGUCAAAGUGUGUAUGUACUGUAUCUGUAUUUCAUAGGAUGAAAGGCAGUGUCUCAGGCUGAUUGGUCUGUCUAGCAGGCCCCUUUUCUCUGAGACCUUCUCACAACCUUCUCUUUUCAGUGUGACUGCGUUCCCUGGCCAUAGCUACUUGGUUUGAUACUUUUCAUCUUAUCCUAGUUGAGCCAGUCAUACUUUUGUUAUAUUUAGAGUUUGGGACUAGACCCCAAGAAUGAGUGAUAGCCUGCAAAGGCUCAUUAAGAACCUUUCACUGCAGAGAAUGUAAAAAGAUAUACUGUUGAGUUUCCCUGAGCUAGCCUCAUUUCUGUGUCUCUAAAAUGUAUUUGUUGCUUGUUUUUUGCGUUUUAUAAAAUACUUGUGUUCUUCCAA